AAAGGGUCCAAUCUAAUUCUGCCUGAUGUUCUAUUCAUGUAGUCUCGCUUUUGGACCAGAACAAAGCCCCAUCUUUUAUUAUCCUUGUGCUUGUGUUUAAUUACCAAAGCAAAGCACACGAGAAACGUAAAAGAACAACU
Molecule: small nucleolar RNA, 140 nt
Organism: Drosophila kikkawai
Lineage: Eukaryota; Metazoa; Arthropoda; Insecta; Diptera; Drosophilidae
Product: small nucleolar RNA psi28S-1192
Source: RefSeq, a predicted model, not a curated record